AUACUUACCUGGCAGGGGUGACACCAUGAUCAUGAAGGUGGUUUCGCCUUGAGUGAGAAUCAGUCAUUGCACUCAGACUGGUUUGACCUCAACGAAUUCCCCAAAUGUGGAAUCUCGACUGCAGAAUUUGUGUUAGUGGGGGACUGCGUUCGCGCUCUCCCCUC
Megalobrama amblycephala (Wuchang bream) is the source of this 164-nucleotide small nuclear RNA. RefSeq annotates it as U1 spliceosomal RNA. The record is from RefSeq and is a predicted model, not a curated record. Lineage: Eukaryota; Metazoa; Chordata; Actinopteri; Cypriniformes; Xenocyprididae. The transcript has a single exon.